Molecule: ribosomal RNA, 377 nt
Filed under: Lissachatina fulica (giant African snail)
Lineage: Eukaryota; Metazoa; Mollusca; Gastropoda; Stylommatophora; Achatinidae
Description: partial large subunit ribosomal RNA
Source: RNAcentral
AGCUUAAAGUAAAGAUUUUAAGUAAUCUCUGCCCGGUGAGUUUUUAACGGCCGCAGUACCUUGACUGUGCAAAGGUAGCAUAAUAAUUUGUCCUUUAAUUUAGGUCUGGAAUGAAUGAGAACACAGGGGAGAGCUGUCUCUAGWARGGUUAACUUAACUUCCUUAUCAGGUGAAAAUUCCUGAGCUUCUUGGAAAGACGAGAAGACCCUUAGAGUUUUUUUGUUGGGGCGACAGGGUAACAAAACUUACCCAUUUAAUAAUUAAACUACCUAAGGGAUAACAGCGUAAUUUUUUUUUUGGUUUGCGACCUCGAUGUUGGACUAGGGGCCUACUGGUUAGCAACCAUCAAUGGAGGUUCUGUUCGAACUUAAUCCCCU